UAAUCCGGGUUGCGGACAGUGUCUGGUGGGUAGUUUGACUGGGGCGGUCUCCUCCUAAAGAGUAACGGAGGAGCACGAAGGUUGGCUAAUCCUGGUCGGACAUCAGGAGGUUAGUGCAAUGGCAUAAGCCAGCUUGACUGCGAGCGUGACGGCGCGAGCAGGUGCGAAAGCAGGUCAUAGUGAUCCGGUGGUUCUGAAUGGAAGGGCCAUCGCUCAACGGAUAAAAGGUACUCCGGGGAUAACAGGCUGAUACCGCCCAAGAGUUCAUAUCGACGGCGGUGUUUGGCACCUCGAUGUCGGCUCAUCACAUCCUGGGGCUGAAGUAGGUCCCAAGGGUAUGGCUGUUCGCCAUUUAAAGUGGUACGCGAGCUGGGUUUAGAACGUCGUGAGACAGUUCGGUCCCUAUCUGCCGUGGGCGCUGGAGAACUGAGGGGGGCUGCUCCUAGUACGAGAGGACCGGAGUGGACGCAUCACUGGUGUUCGGGUUGUCAUGCCAAUGGCACUGCCCGGUAGCUAAAUGCGGAAGAGAUAAGUGCUGAAAGCAUCUAAGCACGAAACUUGCCCCGAGAUGAGUUCUCCCUGAGACUUAGAGUCUCCUGAAGGAACGUUGAAGACGACGACGUUGAUAGGCCGGGUGUGUAAGCGCAGCGAUGCGUUGAGCUAACCGGUACUAAUGAACCGUGAGGCUUAACCUU
Molecule: ribosomal RNA, 695 nt
Filed under: Escherichia coli
Lineage: Bacteria; Pseudomonadati; Pseudomonadota; Gammaproteobacteria; Enterobacterales; Enterobacteriaceae
Also listed under: 7 other names
Description: partial 23S ribosomal RNA
Rfam family: Bacterial large subunit ribosomal RNA
Source: RNAcentral